UACGAAGGGGGCUAGCGUUGUUCGGAAUCACUGGGCGUAAAGGGCGCGUAGGCGGCUUUUCAAGUCGGGGGUGAAAGCCUGUGGCUCAACCACAGAAUUGCCUUCGAUACUGUUAGGCUUGAGACCGGAAGAGGUGAGUGGAACUGCGAGUGUAGAGGUGAAAUUCGUAGAUAUUCGGAGGAACACCAGUGGCGAAGGCGGCUCACUGGUCCGGUACUGACGCUGAGGUGCGAAAGCGUGGGGAGCAAACAGG
RNAcentral lists this ribosomal RNA (253 nucleotides) under uncultured bacterium. RNAcentral describes it as "partial 16S ribosomal RNA". It matches the Rfam family "Bacterial small subunit ribosomal RNA", at positions 524 to 776 of the family's 1533-position model. The record is from RNAcentral.